GGCCUAAUGGUCUAGUAGCAUGAUACCUCCUUCGGGAUUUGCCAAAAUUCCACGUAGAACGUAAUCAUGGAGGUGGUCCUGGGUUCAAUUCCCAGUUAGGCCC
This is a non-coding RNA of Sphagnurus paluster, 103 nucleotides long. Lineage: Eukaryota; Fungi; Basidiomycota; Agaricomycetes; Agaricales; Lyophyllaceae. The record is from the annotation of a GenBank genome assembly.